CUGACUCUGACUAUGUGCAAAGACUGGAGGCAAUUGGACUUUUUGCCAUGAGAAAAUGAUGUCUGAGAGGGCUUUCAGACACAGGGAAAUAAGAAUAAAGAAGCUGAAUGUGGGUUCAUAUUAAAACAGAACAGCAAAACUACGAACCAAGUGAGUGAGAGGCCAAAUCUAAAUCUGAAUGCUUCAGAAAAUCCUUCUUUGUACAAAGAAUAAUUGCUAAUGGAACAGAGUUCUGAAUGGAACACGAAAGUCAUAGAGUUCUACAGCGAGGAAAUAGAACCGUCAGUCCAACUCAUCCAUGCUGACCAGAGCCCAGGGCUGAGGCACCAGUUCUAUCCUGCCCAGGAUGAGCGGAUGGAUCAAGAUCAGGUUCACCUGCCUGAGAGGAUGUAAAAGAUCACCUGGCACAUGGGAAGGUUUCUUUUAUUCAUUAAGUAAGGAUUUUGAUGGAAAGAAAACAAUAUUAUGAACAAGAGAACAACAUAUUACUCCAGAGACCAACCCAGAAAGAUAUACAUGAAUACCGUUUAUUAUGAGCACCUGAUAUCUUCAUCUACUUUGGUACCAUUGUAUUCAAUGAUCAAUAUUUGCAGUGAAUGACUAGAUCACAAGAGCAGAGAAAACAUAUUAAACCCUGUAUUCUUUUAUUGUGAUAUAAAUCACUUCCAGACAAAUAUAUCCUGGGGGAGAUUAUUAGCAAACGUAAUCACAAAUGUUACAGAAUAUGGAUUACUGCAUGUUAUAACACAAUGAAAGAAUUGAAAAUGUGCUUGCCCUAUUAAGGUGCAAAAAUAAUAAUGGCUGUUCUACCACUUAUGAUUAAUCUGAGCAUGUAAAAUCCUGUCAUGUUUAAUAUCAGGUUCACAGUAUAUUAGAGGCGCAAUGGCUAUAACUUAUGAAUAAUUGAUUUCUUUUUAAUGAAAAGUAAUCUGUUAUUCCAUAUUGUAAUCAUUGCUUGCUGUUAUUUAAGAGAAUAUUCCUUCAUGUUUUUCACAGUAUGCUGUGUAUCACCAAAAAACACCCUUAUUGUUCCAAAUUAUAAUGUAUUAUUCGAAGGAGAAUGUGGUUUGUACUCCUCUUCCUGUGGCAGGAAGCUGGGGUUUUAGUAAAAGUCUUUAACUUUCCCUCCUCCAAUUCUGCCUCUUAUUCAUAACGAACAAGGAAUAAUAUAGCACAGGAACAGGCCCUUCGGCCCACCAAGCCUGCACCAACACAUGGCGCCUUUCUAAACUACAAGCCUUCUGCCUCUGUGCAGUCUGUAUCCCUCUAUUUGCUGCCUAUUCAUGUAUCUGUCAAGAUGUCUCUUCAAUGUUGCUAUUGCAUCUGCUCCUACCACCUCCUCUGGCAGCACAUUCCAGGCACUUACCACCCUCUGUGUAAAACUUUGGCUCUGACACCCCUUUAAACCUCCCCCUGUCUUUUAGCUUAAACCUAUGUCCUUGGUAACUGACAACGUUUGUACAAUCUCUCUUCAUAGCUAAUACUAUCCAAACCAGGUAACAUCCUGAUAGACUGUUUCCAUACCCUUUUCAAUUCCUCCGCAUUCUUCUUGUAGUGUGGUGACCAAAAUUGUACACAAUAUCUAAAAGUGGCCUAACUAUUGUUCUAUACAGCUGCAACAUGACUUGCCAAUUUUCAUACUCUAUACUCUAACCAAUGAAGGGGGGCAUGGUAGACAACUUCUUGAACACCUUCUCCACUAGUCUUUGCUUUUCAAUCUGUGGAAGAAUUGUUAACCAAAGCAGCCAUCUUGACAUAUAUUCAAAGCCUGGAAUUAAUUUUAAAUCUCAUAUUAGCGUCUGCUUGUUAAGUUUGUAUGUUCCCAGGCUCAGUGAGGUGGUUGACCUUACUAACACCUGAUUGUGAGUUCUUUCCCAGCAUGGGAAUGCUCUUCUUUUACAAGAAUCUAUUGUAAUACUAACACUUGCUUAUCAGCUACUAACUAGCACUGUCCAGACACUACAUGACUGAGACUAGUGACUGGAUGAAGUGCCUAUUUACUCAUUAUGCUACAAGUAACAGUUUGCUAAUUGUUAAAUGAUUGUAAGCUAUAUAAUCAUGCAACUCUCUGUAUCUCGUCGGAGUGACUUGUGCCCAGUAGGUCGAAUUGUCUCUUCCCGUGAGCUCACGAAUAAACAGUC
Chiloscyllium plagiosum (whitespotted bambooshark) is the source of this 2141-nucleotide non-coding RNA. The record is from RefSeq and is a predicted model, not a curated record. Lineage: Eukaryota; Metazoa; Chordata; Chondrichthyes; Orectolobiformes; Hemiscylliidae.